GACGAACCGUGCGAACGUUAUUCGGAAUCACUGGGCUUAAAGCGCGUGUAGGCGGGUCGGCACGUCCGAUGCUGAAAUCCCCCGGCUCAACCGGGGAACGGGCAGGGAUACGACCGACCUGGAGGGGCGUAGGGGGAUCGGGAACUUCCGGUGGAGCGGUGAAAUGCGUUGAGAUCGGAAGGAACGCCCGUGGCGAAAGCGCGGUCCUGGACGCCAUCUGACGCUGAGACGCGAAAGCCAGGGGAGCGAACGGG
Molecule: ribosomal RNA, 254 nt
Filed under: uncultured bacterium
Lineage: Bacteria
Description: partial 16S ribosomal RNA
Rfam family: Bacterial small subunit ribosomal RNA
Source: RNAcentral